Molecule: ribosomal RNA, 109 nt
Organism: Bison bison bison
Lineage: Eukaryota; Metazoa; Chordata; Mammalia; Artiodactyla; Bovidae
Source: Ensembl
GUCUAUGGCCACAUCACCCUGCACGUCUCCAAUCUCAUCUGAUUUCAGAAGGUAAGCAGGGUCAGAACUGAUUAGUACUUGAAUUGAAGAACUAUUUUUGUUUUAUCCC